RNAcentral lists this ribosomal RNA (683 nucleotides) under Klebsiella pneumoniae. RNAcentral describes it as "partial 23S ribosomal RNA". It matches the Rfam family "Bacterial large subunit ribosomal RNA", at positions 2248 to 2925 of the family's 2925-position model. The record is from RNAcentral. RNAcentral also lists the same sequence under 1 other name. Lineage: Bacteria; Pseudomonadati; Pseudomonadota; Gammaproteobacteria; Enterobacterales; Enterobacteriaceae.
CGGACAGUGUCUGGUGGGUAGUUUGACUGGGGCGGUCUCCUCCCAAAGCGUAACGGAGGAGCACGAAGGUUAGCUAAUCCUGGUCGGACAUCAGGAGGUUAGUGCAAUGGCAUAAGCUAGCUUGACUGCGAGCGUGACGGCGCGAGCAGGUGCGAAAGCAGGUCAUAGUGAUCCGGUGGUUCUGAAUGGAAGGGCCAUCGCUCAACGGAUAAAAGGUACUCCGGGGAUAACAGGCUGAUACCGCCCAAGAGUUCAUAUCGACGGCGGUGUUUGGCACCUCGAUGUCGGCUCAUCACAUCCUGGGGCUGAAGUAGGUCCCAAGGGUAUGGCUGUUCGCCAUUUAAAGUGGUACGCGAGCUGGGUUUAGAACGUCGUGAGACAGUUCGGUCCCUAUCUGCCGUGGGCGCUGGAGAAUUGAGGGGGGCUGCUCCUAGUACGAGAGGACCGGAGUGGACGCAUCACUGGUGUUCGGGUUGUCAUGCCAAUGGCACUGCCCGGUAGCUAAAUGCGGAAGAGAUAAGUGCUGAAAGCAUCUAAGCACGAAACUUGCCCCGAGAUGAGUUCUCCCUGAGACUUUAAGUCUCCUGAAGGAACGUUAAAGACGAUGACGUUGAUAGGCCGGGUGUGUAAGCGCAGCGAUGCGUUGAGCUAACCGGUACUAAUGAACCGUGAGGCUUAACCUU